GGCUCAGAUUGAACGCUGGCGGAAUGCUUUACACAUGCAAGUCGAACGGCAGCAUGGACUUCGGUCUGGUGGCGAGUGGCGAACGGGUGAGUAAUAUAUCGGAACGUGCCCAGUCGUGGGGGAUAACGUAGUGAAAAUUACGCUAAUACCGCAUACGAUCUAUGGAUGAAAGCGGGGGAUCGCAAGACCUCGCGCGAUUGGAGCGGCCGAUGUCAGAUUAGCUAGUUGGUGGGGUAAAGGCCCACCAAGGCGACGAUCUGUAGCUGGUCUGAGAGGACGACCAGCCACACUGGGACUGAGACACGGCCCAGACUCCUACGGGAGGCAGCAGUGGGGAAUUUUGGACAAUGGGCGCAAGCCUGAUCCAGCAAUGCCGCGUGCAGGAAGAAGGCCUUCGGGUUGUAAACUGCUUUGUACGGAACGAAAAGGUCUGGGUUAAUACCCUGGGCUCAUGACGGUACCGUAAGAAUAAGCACCGGCUAACUACGUG
This 490-nucleotide ribosomal RNA is filed under the name uncultured bacterium. Its description in RNAcentral is "bacterial SSU rRNA". It matches the Rfam family "Bacterial small subunit ribosomal RNA", at positions 21 to 507 of the family's 1533-position model. The record is from RNAcentral.